GAAUGAGCUUUGCAUUCUUCAAGAUGACGUUCCACCUUUUCCUAAUGAGGUUGCGUUCAGUAUCAUAGAAGAAGAACUGGGUCGCCCCCUUGAAGCUGUUUUUAGCAAAAUUUCGUCACGGACAAUAGCAGCAGCAAGUUUGGGUCAAGUUUAUCGAGCUACUCUACGAGACUCUGGCGAGGAUGUUGCUAUCAAGGUUCAAAGGCCUAAGAUCGAGCCAAUAAUUUACCAGGAUCUUUUUCUCUUCCGUACGCUUGCUUCCUUUUUAAAUGGCAUCAGUCUACAGAAACUUGGGUGUAAUGCCGAGCUCAUAGUUGAUGAAUUUGGUGAGAAGCUAUUGGAGGAGCUUGAUUAUACUUUGGAAGCCCGUAACCUUGAGGAUUUUCUUGAAAACUUCAAAAAUGAUCCCACUGUAAAAAUUCCUCGUGUUUACAAACAACUUUCUGGUUCACGGGUUUUGGUGAUGGAAUGGAUUGAUGGAAUCCGCUGCACCGACCCACAGGCUAUUAAGAAUGCUGGCAUUGAUGUCGAUGGAUUUUUAACAGUUGGAGUUAGUGCAGCAUUGCGGCAAUUGCUAGAAUUUGGGUUAUUUCAUGGUGAUCCCCAUCCUGGAAACAUUUUUGCGAUGCGUGAUGGACGUAUCGCAUAUGUGGAUUU
Molecule: unclassified non-coding RNA, 657 nt
Filed under: Hevea brasiliensis (rubber tree)
Lineage: Eukaryota; Viridiplantae; Streptophyta; Magnoliopsida; Malpighiales; Euphorbiaceae
Source: RNAcentral